RNAcentral lists this transfer RNA (70 nucleotides) under bovine gut metagenome. It matches the Rfam family "tRNA". Rfam says of the family: Transfer RNA (tRNA) molecules are approximately 80 nucleotides in length. Their secondary structure includes four short double-helical elements and three loops (D, anti-codon, and T loops). The record is from RNAcentral.
CUGAAUAGCUCAGUCGGUUAGAGCGACGGCUUCAUAAGCCGUAGGUCACAGGUUCAAGUCCAGUUUCAGC